Molecule: long non-coding RNA, 357 nt
Filed under: Bos mutus (wild yak)
Lineage: Eukaryota; Metazoa; Chordata; Mammalia; Artiodactyla; Bovidae
Description: lncRNA (ENSBMUG00000003962.1)
Source: RNAcentral
AAAAAAUAAAAAAGCAGGUGAAGACUCCCACGUGUCCAGCCUGCCGACAUGAAACCUGCUAGCUCACUGUCUGGAUGGUUUGCGUUCUCCUGUUUUGCACAAGCUUUCCCAUCAGCUGAUAUGAAAUAUACAUGAAGUCAUCAGAAUUCAAGAGACCAGAUGAAGGAUACGGGAAGUGUGUUUCCUGCUGUAGGUGCUCUGCACACCAGCUGUGUGUCUGUCCUGCACACCCUACCUGGCCUGCCCGCUACUUGCCAGCUCCACAUUCAAGUGGCCAUCUCUCCCAAGCUGCAAAGAUGUCAGUUUGAUUACUUUAAAAACAAUUAAGAUGAGUUGCAAUUUUUAUCAGUCUUGGAG